RNAcentral lists this microRNA precursor (58 nucleotides) under Strongyloides ratti. RNAcentral's name for it is "microRNA str-mir-1 precursor". Its record names the gene str-mir-1. It matches the Rfam family "mir-1 microRNA precursor family", at positions 11 to 69 of the family's 79-position model. Rfam says of the family: This family represents the microRNA (miRNA) mir-1 family. miRNAs are transcribed as ~70nt precursors (modelled here) and subsequently processed by the Dicer enzyme to give a ~22nt product. In this case the mature sequence comes from the 3' arm of the precursor. The extents of the hairpin precursors are not generally known and are estimated based on hairpin prediction. Lineage: Eukaryota; Metazoa; Nematoda; Chromadorea; Rhabditida; Strongyloididae. The record is from miRBase by way of RNAcentral.
CAUGCUUCUUUAUAGUGCCAUAUAGCAAGAGAACUUAUGGAAUGUAAAGAAGUAUGCA